AUUUCCCUACCUACAAUUCUAACCUAGACCAUAAGAAUAAGAUCAGUUGUUUCUCUUGGAUUUUUUGGACGGAACCUAGAUACGAAAAGACCCUAAGGUAUCAUCUUCUUGUUGGCCAUUUUAGAAGGCUGAAGCAGCGGCAAAUAAACCAAAUGGGAGGCCAAUCCCCAUCAUUACCCACCUCUAACCAAAGACCCUGAACUUCUAACACUUGAACACCUAUCAGUAGCCGUUUUUAGGAUCUUCAACGACAACAGCCGUAGCUGUUCACCCCAGCUCCCCGCCAUCGCUGACCAGCCCGAACCAACGGCAUCACGCCAUCCAUCAGACGACACCAUCCCUUUUCCAAAUAACCAGCGACCACCGGCUACUAUUUUUAGUCCAAACGAGAGCAGCAACAGCGAAAAGUUUCUUUUAUUUUCUUCUCGUUGUUUGGUUGUCGUCGAAAAAGCAGUGGCGUUUCAGUUAAGUUUGAGUUCCGUUAAAGCCCAUUCAUAGGUCAUUAGCUCCGUCUAUUGGGUCAGUUCAGUUCCGUUCGAGGUCACCAGUCGUGGUUCCUACGUUGUUGAUUUCAUUUUCCAGUUAGAUCUCUGUCGCAAACAUGGCUGCAUCGGCGAGAAAGGUAAUAACAAACUUUGUAUAAUUUUAGUCUACUACUUGUACUUAUCCAUGGCAUGCGUAUAUCAAUUGAUUGUUCCUAAAUAUUUAUAUUUGAACGUGUGUUCAUUUCUGUGUAUGCUUAGCUCGGACUGUUUUUGCUUCACUAGUUUAAUUAGUGAACAUUUUGAAGUGAUGCUGCUCUUUGUUAAACCUGCAGGUUGCCUUCAUGUUUCAUUAAUCUUUAAAGUUACUGAUAACUUUUGGUGGGUUUGAAUUCGUGUAUGGUUGACUUUUCGAUUCCAUCCGUGAUUUGUUACUUAUCGAGUUCAAAGUAGUGAAACAAUUAAUUGUCUGGCUAUGUUGAGGUCCAAUGCUUUCGUCCUCUAUUAUUUUAUUCAAGUUCAAUGUUAAUUGUUUGUUUGGUAUGGUGCCGUUGUUUGCGUAAUUGCUUUCCUUAAUUUUGAAUUUGCGCGCGUAGCUAUCUAUUUGUAUAUUUACCAGAAUUGGUUAUAGCUGAACAUGAUUUUGUCACAGUAUAGAAAUUGGUUUGCUAUUCUUCAACUGAACUACGUCAAAUUACAUAAAAGGGGCCCGGAUGUGCAUUUCAUGUGACCCUAGUCCAAUUUCAAACAAGC
Molecule: long non-coding RNA, 1235 nt
Filed under: Nicotiana benthamiana
Lineage: Eukaryota; Viridiplantae; Streptophyta; Magnoliopsida; Solanales; Solanaceae
Description: long non-coding RNA (NBEN_LNC040777)
Source: RNAcentral